UGCAGUCGAGCGGGGAAGGGUAGCUUGCUACCUGACCUAGCGGCGGACGGGUGAGUAAUGCUUAGGAAUCUGCCUAUUAGUGGGGGACAACAUUCCGAAAGGAAUGCUAAUACCGCAUACGCCCUACGGGGGAAAGCAGGGGAUCUUCGGACCUUGCGCUAAUAGAUGAGCCUAAGUCAGAUUAGCUAGUUGGUGGGGUAAAGGCCUACCAAGGCGACGAUCUGUAGCGGGUCUGAGAGGAUGAUCCGCCACACUGGGACUGAGACACGGCCCAGACUCCUACGGGAGGCAGCAGUGGGGAAUAUUGGACAAUGGGCGCAAGCCUGAUCCAGCCAUGCCGCGUGUGUGAAGAAGGCCUUUUGGUUGUAAAGCACUUUAAGCGAGGAGGAGGCUACUUAGAUUAAUACUCUAGGAUAGUGGACGUUACUCGCAGAAUAAGCACCGGCUAACUCUGUGCCAGCAGCCGCGGUAAUACAGAGGGUGCGAGCGUUAAUCGGAUUUACUGGGCGUAAAGCGUGCGUAGGCGGCUUUUUAAGUCGGAUGUGAAAUCCCUGAGCUUAACUUAGGAAUUGCAUUCGAUACUGGGAAGCUAGAGUAUGGGAGAGGAUGGUAGAAUUCCAGGUGUAGCGGUGAAAUGCGUAAGAUCUGGAGGAAUACCGAUGGCGAAGGCGGCCAUCUGGCCUAAUACUGACGCUGAGGUACGAAAGCAUGGGGGAGCAAACAGGAUUAGAUACUCUGGGAGUCCAUGCCGUAAACGAUGUCUACUAUUCGUUGGGGCCUUUGAGGCUUUA
RNAcentral lists this ribosomal RNA (791 nucleotides) under Acinetobacter johnsonii. RNAcentral describes it as "bacterial SSU rRNA". It matches the Rfam family "Bacterial small subunit ribosomal RNA", at positions 56 to 842 of the family's 1533-position model. The record is from RNAcentral. Lineage: Bacteria; Pseudomonadati; Pseudomonadota; Gammaproteobacteria; Moraxellales; Moraxellaceae.